UGGGGAAUAUUGGACAAUGGGCGCAAGCCUGAUCCAGCAAUGCCGCGUGUGUGAAGAAGGCCUUCGGGUUGUAAAGCACUUUUAUCAGGAGCGAAACGCUGUCGGCUAAUACCCGGCGGAACUGACGGUACCUGAGGAAUAAGCACCGGCUAACUUCGUGCCAGCAGCCGCGGUAAUACGAAGGGUGCAAGCGUUAAUCGGAAUUACUGGGCGUAAAGCGUGCGUAGGCGGUUUCUUAAGUCUGCUGUGAAAUCCCCGGGCUCAACCUGGGGAUGGCAGUGGAUACUGGGAGGCUAGAGUGUGUCAGAGGGUGGUGGAAUUCCCGGUGUAGCGGUGAAAUGCGUAGAGAUCGGGAGGAACAUCAGUGGCGAAGGCGGCCACCUGGGACAACACUGACGCUGAGGCACGAAAGCGUGGGGAGCAAACAGGAUUAGGAUACCCUGGUAGUCCACGCCCUAAAGCGAUGCGAACUGGAUGUUGGUCUCAACUCGGAGAUCAGUGUCGAAGCUAACGCGUUAAGUUCGCCGCCUGGGGAGUACGGUCGCAAGACUGAAACUUAAAUGAAUUGACGGGGUCAUAGCUGUUUCC
RNAcentral lists this ribosomal RNA (588 nucleotides) under uncultured bacterium. RNAcentral describes it as "partial 16S ribosomal RNA". It matches the Rfam family "Bacterial small subunit ribosomal RNA", at positions 355 to 937 of the family's 1533-position model. The record is from RNAcentral.